Molecule: unclassified non-coding RNA, 305 nt
Filed under: plant metagenome
Description: partial contains 5.8S ribosomal RNA, internal transcribed spacer 2, and large subunit ribosomal RNA
Rfam family: 5.8S ribosomal RNA (bases 1-105)
Source: RNAcentral
GAAAUGCGAUAAGUAAUGUGAAUUGCAGAAUUCAGUGAAUCAUCGAAUCUUUGAACGCACAUUGCGCCCGCCAGUAUUCUGGCGGGCAUGCCUGUUCGAGCGUCAUUUCAACCAUCAAGCCCCCGGCUUGUGUUGGGGACCUGCGGCUGCCCGCAGGCCCUGAAAAACAGUGGCGGGCUCGCUGUCACACCGAGCGUAGUAGCAUACAUUCUCGCUCAGGGCGUGCUGCGGGUUCCGGCCGUUAAACGACCUUCAUAACCCAAGGUUGACCUCGGAUCAGGUAGGAUGACCCGCUGAACUUAAGC